This 201-nucleotide ribosomal RNA is filed under the name uncultured bacterium. RNAcentral describes it as "partial 16S ribosomal RNA". It matches the Rfam family "Bacterial small subunit ribosomal RNA", at positions 853 to 1052 of the family's 1533-position model. The record is from RNAcentral.
CCACACAGUAAGCACUCCGCCUGGGGAGUACGCACGCAAGUGUGAAACUCAAAGGAAUUGACGGGGACCCGCACAAGUAGCGGAGCAUGUGGUUUAAUUCGACGCAACGCGAAGAACCUUACCAGGGCUUGACAUGACAGUGACGGGUUAAGAGAUUAACCGUUCCCUUCGGGGACACUGCCACAGGUGGUGCAUGGUUGU